GGCUCUGUGGCGCAAUGGAUAGCGCAUUGGACUUCUAGAUGAAUGAAGGAAUUCAAAGGUUGUGGGUUCGAGUCCCACCAGAGUCG
This 86-nucleotide transfer RNA is filed under the name Xenopus tropicalis (tropical clawed frog). RNAcentral's name for it is "Xenopus (Silurana) tropicalis (western clawed frog) tRNA". It matches the Rfam family "tRNA". Rfam says of the family: Transfer RNA (tRNA) molecules are approximately 80 nucleotides in length. Their secondary structure includes four short double-helical elements and three loops (D, anti-codon, and T loops). Lineage: Eukaryota; Metazoa; Chordata; Amphibia; Anura; Pipidae. The record is from Rfam by way of RNAcentral.